UACGUAGGGUGCAAGCGUUAAUCGGAAUUACUGGGCGUAAAGCGUGCGCAGGCGGUGAUGUAAGACAGUUGUGAAAUCCCCGGGCUCAACCUGGGAACUGCAUCUGUGACUGCAUCGCUGGAGUACGGUAGAGGGGGAUGGAAUUCCGCGUGUAGCAGUGAAAUGCGCAGAUAUCGGGAGGAACACCCGUGGCGAAGGCGGCACUCUGGGACGGUACUGACGCUGAGACGCGAAAGCGUGGGGAGCAAACAGG
RNAcentral lists this ribosomal RNA (253 nucleotides) under uncultured bacterium. Its description in RNAcentral is "partial 16S ribosomal RNA". It matches the Rfam family "Bacterial small subunit ribosomal RNA", at positions 524 to 776 of the family's 1533-position model. The record is from RNAcentral.